This 468-nucleotide ribosomal RNA is filed under the name uncultured bacterium. RNAcentral's name for it is "partial 16S ribosomal RNA". It matches the Rfam family "Bacterial small subunit ribosomal RNA", at positions 28 to 507 of the family's 1533-position model. The record is from RNAcentral.
GACGAACGCUGGCGGCGUGCUUAACACAUGCAAGUCGAACGGUGAUGCUCCAGCUUGCUGGAGUGGAUCAGUGGCGAACGGGUGAGUAACACGUGAGCAACCUGCCCCAGACUCUGGAAUAAGCGCUGGAAACGGCGUCUAAUACUGGAUACGAAACUGGCCCGCAUGGGCAUGGUUUGGAAAGUUUUUCGGUUUGGGAUGGGCUCGCGGCCUAUCAGCUUGUUGGUGAGGUAAUGGCUCACCAAGGCGACGACAGGUAGCCGGCCUGAGAGGGCGACCGGCCACACUGGGACUGAGACACGGCCCAGACUCCUACGGGAGGCAGCAGUGGGGAAUAUUGCACAAUGGGCGAAAGCCUGAUGCAGCGACGCCGCGUGAGGGAUGACGGCCUUCGGGUUGUAAACCUCUUUCAGCAGGGAAGAAGCGAAAGUGACGGUACCUGCAGAAGAAGCACCGGCUAACUACGUG